RNAcentral lists this ribosomal RNA (253 nucleotides) under uncultured bacterium. Its description in RNAcentral is "partial 16S ribosomal RNA". It matches the Rfam family "Bacterial small subunit ribosomal RNA", at positions 524 to 776 of the family's 1533-position model. The record is from RNAcentral.
UACGUAGGGGGCAAGCGUUGUCCGGAUUUAUUGGGCGUAAAGAGCGUGUAGGCGGCCAGAUAGGUCGGUUGUGAAAACUGGAGGCUCAACCUCCAGACGUCGACCGAAACUCUCUGGCUAGAGUCCGGAAGAGGAGAGUGGAAUUCCUGGUGUAGCGGUGAAAUGCGCAGAUAUCAGGAAGAACACCCGUGGCGAAGGCGGCUCUCUGGGACGGUACUGACGCUGAGACGCGAAAGCGUGGGGAGCGAACAGG